CUCAGUCCCUUUGUGCCGCGGGCGCAGCUGCACAGCACAGGUUUGCGGGCGCCCAUGGGAACCACUGCUGGGGGCAGCCCCACAGCAGGGGCUCAGCAGGGCAGGGGCUGCAGCGCUGCUGUGGAUGCAUUUUCUUACCCAAAUUCCCCUCGCUGCUGUGGUAAAGCCAUCACUGGUGUCAUUGCGCCCUGGCACUGCUCACCCGCGGGCAGCCGGAUUGCUGCCAGCUCUGGUUCAGGUCGGUGUCAUCCAAGGUCAAGCAUUUGUGCGUUAGGAGAACUAUUGCCAGAGCUCAGAGCUCUAAAAUCCUUUCUAAGUGAAGAGCAGCGUCCUCGAGGGCCGGACUUAAAAAAGAAAGCCUGAACUGCAGUCUCCCAGUAACUCUUGCCAUUGGCUGGGUUUUCACAUAAGUGUUAAUCUUCCUUCUUUAUACUCUUUCUCGGGCUCGGAAAGGCUGUGCUGGGAAGAAUUCUGUGCUUUCCUCCUGGAGAUGCAGCAGGACGGAGGGGCCGUGGUGGUCCUGUAAGUGAGGUCAGACCUCGAUCUAUGAGCUGGGGGGCAUGCAGUGCUCUGGGGGAGCCUUCUCCUUCUGUUCAUAGGAAAUCUUUCUGAAGAGUUGGUUUUCUGUGAUCUAAACAGAGAAAAAGUGGGAUAUCUUUUCUUCAACAAAUGGCAGUGAGCAGGAAUGGCAUACCCAGCUCACAGCUGCCCAGUGCUGCGGUCUCCUGCACGUCCCUCCAAAGCACCCUUCUGCUGUAUGAAGAUGGAUCCUGGGCCACAGCCCUGCGGACAUACAGCUCUCCCAGCAGUUUUAUGACUCCUUUUAACUCAUUUUGGAGUUGAGAACCACGGAAUCAUAGAAUGGUUUGAGUUGGAAGGGACCUUUAAAGGGCAUCUGAUCCAACUCCUGGCAAUUAAACCAUUAUAGGAUGAACUCUCCCUACAAGAGCUUCAAUGAUGGAUGUCCAUGAGGCAUUGCUGCACUUUGCUUCCUAUCACUGCUGAACCACAUCCUGCAGCAAGCACCCGUGGUGCUGCUCUGCUUUAGCAUGUCCAUAUAUUUCACAGAGGCAGGAUGAAAGUCACAGUGAAGGGCCAGUGCACCUUCUACGCCCAAUACAAACCCAGUGAGACAUUCUGUAUUUCUCCCUAGGAACAAUCUGGAUGGUUUUUGGGCAGCUGCCCGUUCUUGCACCCAUCCAGUAAAGCUGGGCAUUGGUCCCCAUCCUAUUGCCUUGGGCUAUUGAGGUAAUGCGCUGCCUCGUGGAGCCACUGGCAUUUACCCAGGAAAAGAUGCAACAACCCAUGGAGCAGCAUUGCAGAUGGAUUCAAGACCCUCCAUUGCUGGAAGUGUGUAGGAACAGCACAGCUAGAAGGAGGAAUGUCACUGCCAGGAUGCACAGCUCUGAAGAAGGGAUGCCCCUGCCCAUCCCAGCACCAGCAGGAAUUUGGCUGGCAUCUGGCACCCUUGGACCUGAGUGCUGCUGGGACAUGCACAACCUGCAUAGUCAUCAGAAAGCAAAGCCUCGCCUUGGAGAGGUGUUAAACCAGGAGAGGUGUAAAACCAGAUCAGCUCUUCCAUGUAGCCCGGAGGAGGGCAGGGACUGGAUGGAGGCUUUGGUGAACUGACAGCAGAAGUGACAGUGGGGACAGUCUUCCAUCUGCACAGGGCAGCCAUUCCCCGUCAGACUCAGGCUGUAGUCUCCAGAUCUCUAUAGACACAUCGGCACCAGACCCUUGGCUGGGAUGGCUCACACGGAGCCCCCCUUUUCCCUUGGCCUGCAUCACCAGAAGAUGAAUGUCCCUGGAGGGAUUUGCUGUGUGCCAUGAAGUCACAGUGACUCCAGGUCUGCUGGAUCAAAGGAAAGGAGUGGGAGAGGUGUGAGCAUCUUUCCAUGACGCGUUUCCACCCACCACAUUUCUCAAAGAGCCAUUUCGCCGUCCCCAUGUCUCAUCCUGACAGCCAGGUUUGUCUCUAAACCCAGUGGGUUUCCUUGAGUUUGAGUCCAUCUACCGAUCCCUUCUGGAUGCCAGAAUUGCCUCUUCCAGCCAAACUUCCCUGUUAAUUGUCCUCGGGAUUGGUUUGGAAAAUUGCAUAAGCCCUGGGUUAGGGCUGGCUGCAUCCCAUCCCAGCGCCUGAGGCUUCGUGGGGCAAGGACUAAAGAGCUGCGAAACGCAGAGAUAUAACAGAUGUUGACAUGUAGUGAAAAUACGAGACGCGGGAGCCUAAGAUAAUAAAUCUGAAAAAUUAACACGUAGGGGAACGAAAAAAGGAGCAAUAUGUUUUGGUAAUCAUUCUGAACUGCUGAACCCUUCUCCUGCAGUUCAAAAAUCUCUGGUAUUAAGCAGAUGUCAUUCAACCAAUGAUUAACACGUUACCGAAUUUCUCCAGUCGUUUAAUAAAAGUUUUACAUAACAUGCAGGUAAUUGCUUCCAAAUGUCAAGGUAACAAUGUGGGCUUCUAUGGAUGGCAUUGUUUCCAGCAUCAGGUGAAACCCCUCUAUCAGGCAAAGCCUCGCGCUGCCCAGCU
Molecule: long non-coding RNA, 2530 nt
Organism: Gallus gallus (chicken)
Lineage: Eukaryota; Metazoa; Chordata; Aves; Galliformes; Phasianidae
Source: Ensembl